UUUUUCACCAACUUCUAUGACCAAUUCAAGGCCUCAUGCCAAAUUAUUUGGAUUUUGACAAGUUUUGUAUUUUCUGCAGUUUUCUCGGAGAAAAAGGGUCGAUAAAUGGCUAGACGUGUCACAACAUGCAAAUGGCAUCGAAAGUCGCUCAAACCUGGCAUAGAUGCCUUGUAUGUCCGUGUGAAGCUGUUGCAAGAAGUUGGGAUCAUUUAUCCAUAGUCCAAAAAAUACCAAUUUUAGGAGUGUGCUAGACGGGUGCAUCCGUGAGCAUGUAGUAUUUUUUUCUAAUUCCAAUGCCUAUGUUAUUUGCAAUUUCCGUCAUAUCAAUUAGCAUGACCUUUUCUUAUGUCCAAACAAUUUCUUGAAAUUUUUCAACAAUUUUAGAAAUUUAAAUUUUAUGUUGUACACGAACAGCAAACAAUAUAAAUUUCCUAAAAACCAUUAUCAAAUUUUUGAAAUGCAAACAUUUCUUAUAUUUGUGAUUUUGUUUUCGAAAACAGGAACAUUUUUCCAAAUUCCAGAACAUUAUUCAAAAUUGUAAAACAAUAUUUGAAAACAACAAUAUUUUUUGAUAUUCCAAAAAUAUUUCAAUUUUUUAAACAAGUUUGAAAAAGAAUAAUAAACUUGAAAAAAAUAGAAAAAUGAAUUAAUGACAAAAAAAUAAAAAUAAAAAUUAAAAAAAUACAGAAUAUAUGCUCAGGCCUUGGUUCAACUAGGCGACGACCUCGCUCACGCCAGGUUCCUGUUGGGCCAACCCAACCGUUUGCGGAUUUAAAAAAGUUCAUCAAUUUUGAAAACAAAUGUUCACGAAUUUGAAAAAAAGGAAUUGCAGGCUUUGACAAAUGUUUGUAAAAGUUAAAAAGGGUUCAUUGAUUCAAAAAAAAUCACGGAUUUUAAAACAAAGUUCAAGAAUUUAAGAAAAUAUUCAUGAUUUUGUAAAGUUCACGGAUUUAAGAAAAAUGUUGAUGUUUUAAAAAUAGUUUACAAAUUUUAAUAAAGAAAAUCGAAUGAAAAAGAGAGAAAAAGAAAAAAAAGAAGGAAAAUGAGACAAACAAAAACCAAGAAAAUGAAACCACAACAUUUUUCCAAAGAUGUUCGGAAAUUGUUCAUGUUUCAAAAAGAAAUCAAAUUUUUAAAAAUGUUUGCUGAAAUUUCGUUAAGAAAUUCAGAACUAUUCCGCAUAGAAAUAUUUUUCACAUUUUUUGGCAAUAAAAGUUUCAAUUUUUCGAGAAAAUAUUUCAUAUAUAUUAGCGCUAAAAAAACGCUCUUUGUGUCUUCUUAUAGAUUUCGUGCUAUAAUGUACCACAAAUAUUGGGGUGGUUAAGUGGCUACCUGCACUUGCCUUUAAGUGGGAGGUCCUGAGUUCAAAAAUCCUCAUAGGCUUUCUUUUUCUCAGUAUUUUUACGACAUUUACACUGAACAUGGUAGGGCUUAAUGGGCCGGCCCAGUCCCAGGAGAAGCAGAGAAGUUUAUUUCUACUAGAACAGACAGAACACAGGCAGUGUACACUCACGCACACAUAUCCACCGGAGAUGUUGCUCACGUAGUGCUACUUUGCAAUGGAGCUAGAUGGCUUGAGUUGAUUACAUCGGAGGAGCACGGCUCCUUAUACAGAGGUCACACAUUUGUACUGCUAGCUAUCUCUAAACUAGAAUCUACCACACAAUUUACCGUUUGCUUUGACUACUACCUUAGCUAGUCGACCAAAGGGCAUUUCGAAAGCUGACCUGCAAAUGUCUGUUGUUAUGUCUGAACGUGGUCCGCGGACAUAAUGCCGGAGGGAGCCAUUGAAUCCUAUUCACAAAGUAAUCCGUUUGGAAGGAGAGAAAGUAGAUGGGACUAUGCAUGUGGUAGGAUAUUUAUGGUUUGGUGUUCCGGUUGGGAGGAGAGGGGGACCAUGCAUAUGCGAUUGCGAGAAGAGAGAGAAGAGGGGGACCAUGCAUGUGAUUGGUCAAGUACAUGUCCGGAUUCCG
This 1973-nucleotide ribosomal RNA is filed under the name Triticum aestivum (bread wheat). Its description in RNAcentral is "partial small subunit ribosomal RNA". Lineage: Eukaryota; Viridiplantae; Streptophyta; Magnoliopsida; Poales; Poaceae. The record is from RNAcentral.